GUUUUUUUCAGAGACUCCUUAGUCUCUGGGGCUCUCUUUCCAGCUGGUCACUCAAGACACCUUCCUGAGCCUUUAUAUGAUGAAGGAGCCUCAGACUUACUGUGCUGCGGAGUUUUGCUCUUCAGGCAGCUCUCUUGGGUGGGAUAUCAAAUGACCCCAGCCAGCUUUCUCAGUGGAGCCGCCCAAAUCAGGUCCUUGGGAAACACUCCCACGUUCCCUUUGCCCCUCAAGGUAUCAUGCAGGCCCCUCCCAGCAACCCUCUCAAAAACCUUCUCACCACUAGCCUUUUCUCAGCCUUUGAAACCUCUUUCUAGGUCAAAGAUAGGAGGCCAGCUAGGGUCACAAAACCAGUCUUUGGCAGCCUCCUUCAUAAGGGAGUCUCGAGCAUGACUUGGGAAUCAGCCCGUAUCUAUCCUUCAGCACCCUUUCAAAAUCCUGCAGUGCCUGGUUGUGUGCGCGAUGAAGUUUAGUGCUUCAUGGCUGCUGUGCUUCUAAAGCAGGAAGGCAGCAGAAAGCAAGGAAACACUCAUCCUAAAGGGGAAUACACAACCUGAUAAUUUAACAUUAGCAAAGGUUCGACCCACUCCUCAGGCCCAGAAAGGCUGCCCCAUUGCAGGCUGUAUGGGAUUUUACACCACAAUAGAAAUGAAUAUAUUUGUAUACACCAGGUGUAUACAAAUAACACCCGUAUGGUGCCCCCUGGCUCAUAUUAAUGUCUAGAAACCUGCAUGUGAGAAGAGGUGGUGAUGAUGACUGUGGUUUGGCUGGGCUGUGCACCCCACUUGCCUGGGGAGAGCUUUCCAGAUGGUGAAGCCCCUGCACCCAUCAAUCAAGGUGCAGUCUGAGAACAGAAACCACUUGUUCUUUCAAGCAGAGAAGGAUUCAGGGCAAAGAACUAUUUACCAAGGUAUUGCAAUGGCUGGUGGGUGUGGCUGGAGGGGUGCCAGAGGGGGAAAAUAGAGGAGGGUUAACUAGAGAUGAAGAAGUCAUUACCGACCCGGCUGGCCCCAAGCCUACACCAGCUACCCGUUGCCCCGGGAGCCAGAGGCUGCUGCUGUGGCCAGCAUGGACAGCACUAAACCAAAGCCGCCUCUGUUCUCCACUGCUGGCAGGACCAAGCUGAGACCAGGACCAAAACUGUGGGAUGUGUUGGCCACAUACUUCCAGCCCCACAGCACACAGCAGGCAUGGAGGGCGGGUACAGGGCCCAGCAGGACAGAAAAUCUGCUGGAGCAGAUUCCUGGGAACAGCGUGUCCCUCCUCUUCAGAGGUCUCCUCUUCUUUUCUGAAGCUUUACAGAUAGAUUAUAGAAAAUGACCAGCAUGCAUGAUCCUUGUCUUGUUUCCCAUGUCUAGAAGAAAGCUUGAUCAUCUCAUUAUUAAAGCCAUGAUGACUGUUGAAUUUUAAUAAAGGUACUGUACUGGGUUGCAAAUGAAAGAGAAAUAAGUAUAAAUAUAAAGGAAGAAGAGAACACUAUCCACAGAGAGCAGGAAUUCCAGCCUGGAGUGAAGUAACUGCCAUGAACCACGUGUCUUUCCAAAACAUGCCAGGAAAUUUUGCUAUCCAGAUUCACCUGGACCUCGUAAGUCUCUUUCUGGACCCUUCAAGGACCCUGUCAACAGUGGCUGAAACCAGAAAUGUACCUGAAAGGGCAGCUUCUAGUAGAACUGUAACAGUUUCUGGCCUUUCUGUCUAGGGAGCUUCAGCCCACCUCCAGGAACAGAGACCAUAGAUUGAAGAAGCUGAAAGUCUGCUGGAGAUCUGUUUUUCCAAGAGUGGUUCAAGAAUCAUUAGGGCACUCCAGUAAGAGCUCAUUGUGGCUUUAUUUUUUUAUUUUAUUUUAUUUUAUUUUGAGACGGAGUCUCGCUCUGUUGCCAAGGCU
This 1882-nucleotide long non-coding RNA is filed under the name Homo sapiens (human). Its description in RNAcentral is "HSALNT0393794". The record is from RNAcentral. Lineage: Eukaryota; Metazoa; Chordata; Mammalia; Primates; Hominidae.